This 71-nucleotide transfer RNA is filed under the name Chloroflexota bacterium. RNAcentral's name for it is "Chloroflexi bacterium (groundwater metagenome) tRNA-Cys". It matches the Rfam family "tRNA". Rfam says of the family: Transfer RNA (tRNA) molecules are approximately 80 nucleotides in length. Their secondary structure includes four short double-helical elements and three loops (D, anti-codon, and T loops). The record is from RNAcentral. Lineage: Bacteria; Bacillati; Chloroflexota.
GGCGCCGUGGCCAAGUGGUAAGGCAAGAGUCUGCAAAACUCUGACCAGCGGUCCGAACCCGCUCGGCGCCU